Molecule: ribosomal RNA, 298 nt
Filed under: Betiscoides sp. B109_li_34
Lineage: Eukaryota; Metazoa; Arthropoda; Insecta; Orthoptera; Lentulidae
Description: partial 12S ribosomal RNA
Source: RNAcentral
UUUAAACCCAAAGAAUUUGGCGGUACUUUAUUCCAUUCAGAGGAACCUACCCCGUGAUUGAUAGUACACGAUUAACUUUACUUAAUUUAUUUGUUUGUAUAUCUCCGUUAUCAGAAAAUCUUUUUAGAGAUGAAAUUUUCAUAAUUUAUGAUUAUAAAGUAUUUCAGGUCAAGGUGCAGUUUAUAAUUAAGAGGAGGUGGGUUACAAUAAAUUUUUGUUUAUUACGGUUAUUUUAAUGAAAUAUUAAAAAUUAAGGUGGAUUUGAUAGUAAAUUAAUUAAUUUAAUUUAAUUGAUAUG